Molecule: non-coding RNA, 485 nt
Organism: Bactrocera oleae (olive fruit fly)
Lineage: Eukaryota; Metazoa; Arthropoda; Insecta; Diptera; Tephritidae
Source: RefSeq, a predicted model, not a curated record
CCGGUCUAGACAGUUCAAGUAUGCAACAUGUCAAUGAAUGUAGAAAUUAAUAAUUGUCAAACAAUUACAAGAGAUUCGCCUCUUAUUGGUGAAUAUCGAUGCGUGUUUAAAUGUGUGUGCUUAUAGUAAACCGCUAACCCAUUUUGAUAAGCUGAUGGCUAAGCUGGGGGCGCUGAACAAAUUGAAAAAGAAAAAAUGAGAAAAAAAAUUAUGUGUGUUUGUAAUACCAAAAUCGAACUGUUAUAUCAAAGCCAUGCUACCAUGUAGUGCACAACGCAAUUAUCCGAUUGUACUAUGAAGAUAAGCAAAAUAAACGAAUUUCACAGAUUGCUUAUGCAAUUUAUUUGUUGCGCAUACGCCCUGGAGUCAGGUGAACCAGUGUUUAUAAGGGUAUUUAUGUAUGUGCAUAUAUACAAAUAAGUGAAAUGUGAAUCUAAUGCGCAAUAACUGGAAGCAUAAAAAUAAAUUAAUGUAGUUGAAAAUUA